RNAcentral lists this ribosomal RNA (465 nucleotides) under uncultured bacterium. Its description in RNAcentral is "partial 16S ribosomal RNA". It matches the Rfam family "Bacterial small subunit ribosomal RNA", at positions 28 to 507 of the family's 1533-position model. The record is from RNAcentral.
GACGAACGCUGGCGGCGUGCUUAACACAUGCAAGUCGUACGGUAAGGCCCUUUCGGGGGUACACGAGUGGCGAACGGGUGAGUAACACGUGAGUAACCUGCCCACAACUUUGGGAUAACGCUAGGAAACUGGUGCUAAUACUGGAUAUGUGCUCCUGCUGCAUGGUGGGGGUUGGAAAGCUCCGGCGGUUGUGGAUGGACUCGCGGCCUAUCAGCUUGUUGGUGGGGUAGUGGCCUACCAAGGCGGCGACGGGUAGCCGGCCUGAGAGGGUGACCGGCCACAUUGGGACUGAGAUACGGCCCAGACUCCUACGGGAAGCAGCAGUGGGGAAUAUUGCACAAUGGGCGCAAGCCUGAUGCAGCAACGCCGCGUGCGGGAUGACGGCCUUCGGGUUGUAAACCGCUUUCAGCAGGGACGAAGCUUUUUGUGACGGUACCUGCAGAAGAAGCACCGGCUAACUACGUG